RNAcentral lists this ribosomal RNA (117 nucleotides) under Anolis carolinensis (green anole). The record is from RNAcentral. Lineage: Eukaryota; Metazoa; Chordata; Lepidosauria; Squamata; Anolidae.
GUUAGAAACCACUGCCCUAAAGGUACCUGUUCUCAUCUGAUCUUGGAAGCUAAGCAGGAUUAGCCCUGGUUAGUACUUGGAUAGGUGACUGUCAAUGAAUACCAGGUGCUGUGGGCU